RNAcentral lists this ribosomal RNA (631 nucleotides) under uncultured bacterium. RNAcentral describes it as "bacterial SSU rRNA". The stretch from base 1 to 539 matches the Rfam family "Bacterial small subunit ribosomal RNA", at positions 338 to 873 of the family's 1533-position model. The record is from RNAcentral.
CCUACGGGAGGCAGCAGUGGGGAAUUUUGGACAAUGGGCGCAAGCCUGAUCCAGCCAUGCCGCGUGUGGGAAGAAGGCCUUCGGGUUGUAAACCACUUUUGUCAGGGAAGAAACGGUUUGUCCUAAUACGGCGGACUAAUGACGGUACCUGAAGAAUAAGCACCGGCUAACUACGUGCCAGCAGCCGCGGUAAUACGUAGGGUGCAAGCGUUAAUCGGAAUUACUGGGCGUAAAGCGUGCGCAGGCGGCUUUGCAAGACAGAUGUGAAAUCCCCGGGCUCAACCUGGGAACUGCAUUUGUGACUGCAUGGCUAGGGUACGGUAGAGGGGGAUGGAAUUCCGCGUGUAGCAGUGAAAUGCGUAGAUAUGCGGAGGAACACCGAUGGCGAAGGCAAUCCCCUGGACCUGUACUGACGCUCAUGCACGAAAGCGUGGGGAGCAAACAGGAUUAGAUACCCUGGUAGUCCACGCCCUAAACGAUGUCACUGGUUGUGGACGGCUUGCUGUUCAGUAACGAGCUACGCGUGAAGUUCGACCGCCGUGGGGAGGUACGGUCCGGUCGAGUUAGUUAAACGUUAAAGGUUAAGUUAGUACGGCGNGAGACGNGCGACGGACGACGACGAGGGAGGAGG